This is a long non-coding RNA of Lates calcarifer (barramundi perch), 783 nucleotides long. RefSeq lists it as uncharacterized. NCBI's taxonomy places the organism in Eukaryota, Metazoa, Chordata, Actinopteri, Centropomidae. The record is from RefSeq and is a predicted model, not a curated record. The transcript is spliced from 3 exons.
AUUAGGCCUAAAGACUUACUUAAUGACGGAAAGAUGUAAACAAACUGACGGCGAGAGCAUAUGGGUAAAUUAAUAUUAUGAGCCUUAAGCUUAAGCUAUGACCUUUCGCUUUCAAAACACAAUGAACGAGAAAAUGAUAAUGAUGGUGAGUUUAGUAGUGGGUUUGUAGGGUGUCAUCUGUGUCACAGCCACUGCUGCUGUGAGCAGUUGUAGUGACAGAUAGGCAGGACUCUGAGAGAUUCUCUACUUAUCUAACAGGCUCAUUCACAGAGGUCAGAGGGAGAAGCUGCCUUAUAACAGAACAGGCGACUGCGCACACCCACACUGUGUUACUGGUAACAGGGCUGCAUAUCAACAGCUUCUGUUGGCACACCGUUGGCACUUAAGGACGCAGUGGGCGUAGGAGUUGAUUUAGGUCUGCAAGAAGAGACAAAGAAAAAAGAAAAAGCCAGGAAUGAGGGCACUCAUCUCCUCCAUGAGCCCUCCUCCUCCAGGCAGAGGGCCAUUGCCUCUGGCUUCAGAUUUGGCCCCCGCGGCUGCUGCAGCCCCCGUCAUGGCUGCUGCCAGAGCUGCCCCUGCAUCGUCAACCUGAAGACACAAUACAAUACAAAUGAAAGUGAAAUACAAGUUAAUGCAACACAAUCUGCACAAUCAGGGUUAAGUAUUAACCCUACUGUGAGAAUAAAAUGAGAAGUGGAAAUGUACUACUGGUCUUUAUAUUAGACAAGCCAUACAUAGUUGUAGUUGAUUUCUGUAUAUUGUCAUGUUAAACACACGAGCAGA